UAGCCCUGGAAAUGACGCUGGGGGAGGUAAACCCCUGUCCGUUCGUGCGACCCCAGAGGCUAUAGUGUUCGCGGUCUUGUUUUUCUGGAAGUGGGCCUCCGCGAUCUCGGGAACCAACACCCCGAAUCCGGCGCCCAAGCAGGGAGGCCAGCUGCUUUAGGCGGCUCCAGAAAGGCCAGGCUUCGGAGCCUCUAACCUGAUGAAGGUGGGACUUCGGCAAAGUCGAGAAACCUAAGUCUGGGAAGAGUUGGUAUACCCAUGGCCCACGUUCUUGCUCAGAAGAAGCAGACUGCAAAAUUCUGGAGGUGACAAAGGGAAGAUGAAGGCACAUAAACACCUGCUCCUCCCCUCCAGACCCCAAAGCAAUUUCGGCGAGUUUUGGAAGGGAAUGAAGGUGACAACUGUGCUAGGACUCAUCUGGCCUGGGAGCAGAUGGCGCAGGCCUGGAUGUCGCUACCGGAGAAGGUCCAUCGGGAAGCAGCCUGGCCUCGCGGGCGGUGGACAAUGUGGAGGAGAGAGAAUUUCCAGGCAGCAGGAUUAUAAACAAAUUCACGCUGAGAAAUAGCCUGGUGACCUUAGCUAAAGUACAUAGUAAGAGCAGACGAGAUUCCUGGAGGAGCAGCAGCUAUUAUGCAUCAUAAUGAUGAAAGCCACAGAAUAAAGAGCAAGAAGGUAGAAGGAGCCUGAGAACUUCAUGACAUUCUUGGACAGUGGUGCCAACCUUGGAUGAUUUACCUCAGGAUUUUUGGUUAAAUAACAUAUAUUAACUCCUUUCUGUUUAACCCACUGGAGUUGAAUUUUCUGUUGCAAGCCCAGGACCAUGGGUGUGUUUCAUGGCAGAGAAAAGUGAAGAGGAGAAUUGUUUGUGUGUUUGAAGGAGAAACAGAUCAGCAGCCUUUUGUUUUGGCUCCUAAAGUAUGUAGGUGCCUAUUUCCAUUAUCUCUACAAAUAUACCCUUGCUGGUCCUCCUAUUCUGUAGGGGUGUUUCCUUGUCUAUUACAUGCUCCUUCCCUAUCUGUGACAUUUGAGUUUUGAUAAAAAUCCUCUUCUCUCUGGAAGUGUUGUGACUGGUAGUUUUUUCCCACAAUGUCAUUGCAGCAAAUGUUUCUGGUGGGCAUAGUCUCUACGUUUGGUGGAGAGGUCUUCCUCACUCUGGUAUCCGAUCAUCUGAUGUCACCAGAAGACUAACCAUUUGGCCCUACUACAUAUAAAACCAUUGCGGUGAAAAAGGACAGCAUGGGCAUCCUAGAGACGGAAGUUGGACCUCGUGACUGAGGCUUAUGCCCAAGAUUCUAGGGUGAAACAUUGCUUGUUCCAAUGAGACUAUCUAAAGACUAUUUGAUACAAGUGUUGCUGAGAUGAUACAGACUUUUUAGAUAAGUGAGAAAUGAAUGUCUAGAAUAUUUUAAAAGCUACAGAAAGUAGACAGAAACAUUUUCAUUAGGGAUAGUUUAUAAAGGAAGAGAACGGUUUUCUUUAAGGAGCAAGGAAACUGAUAUUUAUUGAGCACUUGCUGUUUACCAGGCACUGUGUAUGUGUGUAUGUGCGUGUAUGUGUAUGUGUCUGCUCACAACGGCUCCGUGGGGUAGUGAUUAUUAGCUCCGUUUUAAUAAUGAAGACAUUGUGGCUCAGAGGGAGUAAGGUGCAAAGCCAGAAUUGCGAGACAAGAUUGUUGGCCUCCCGUGUCCAUGUGUCCACUCACUUUUCCUUUUGAAGGUCUCAGGUAAGGGGUAGCCUCACUGGGAUUUAGGCAGCCUGCCCCAGGGUCCUUGUUCUGAACUACUGUGCUCCACUGCCUUUUAAGAGCAAAUUUAUCUUUUUACCAGGGAGUGAUGACCUUCAGAGGAAUCUUUCUAUCUAGAUAAGCAAAUUCAUAGAAUCCUGAUAGUAAACUGGAAUGUUAAUUGUUCUAAUAUUAUAUUGUUUUGACUUUCUUUAUCAGUAAUACUGAAUAUGGACUGAAGGUCAGAUGACUCCUGUCCCAAGUAAGGGACUCUGAGCACCAGGGAAAAUGAUUCUUUUUAAAGUUUUACUUUAAGUAUUUCAUAAUUUACUUCAUUUUCCCCCAGUUGUACUGGAGGUAUCUUUGGCUUAAAGAUCCCAAGGAUUGAUUGGUUGUUUUUUCACUCUUUAUUUCUGAAUUUACUUUUUUCCCUUUUUAAUUAUAGAAGUAUUUUCAAGGAUUACUGUCAAAACACAUAAAAAUAUAUGGCUAAGAAAAAAAUAUAUGUAUAUUGCCACAUUCCAAAGAUAAACAUACUUUAUGUGUUAGAAGAAACACAAUUUAUGGGCCUGGCCCACUGGCCAGGUGGUUGAGGUGACAUGCUCCACUUCCGCAGCCCAGGGUUUUGCCAGUUUGGAUCCUGGGCGCAGACCUAGCACCACUCAUCAAGCCACGCUGAGGUGGUGUACCACAUGCCACAACUAGAAGGACCCACAACUAAAAUAUACAACUAUGUAGUGGGGGGCUUUGGGGAAAAGAAGGAAAAAUAAAAAUAAAAAAAGAAAAUUUAUGUGUUACAAAACACAUUUUAUGUGUGUUAAGCACAUUUUGUUGUGUGUCUACUUCUGGACAUUUAUAUACAUAUACUGUAUCUGUACAUUUUUAAAAGGGAUUAUCAUCUUUUAAAAACUUUCUUGUAACGUGUUUUUUACUUAAUGCUAUUUCUUAAGCAUCUUUACUGAAAGAUAAUAGAUAGCUAAUUAUUAACUCUGAAGAGCAAGGGUCAAUAAAUAUUUGUUGAAUGAAUGUAUAAUUUCCCUUUAUCACCAGCUGCUUCCAAGCCCCUACUUCAGGUGUCUGGGAAUACCACAUGGCUUUAGGCCAAAAGCGUUUUGUCCCUCAUUAGGGCAAAAAAAAUUAAGGAUGUCUUUUCUCCUCCUCCCUCUAGUUCCAAUAAACCUACACUUUGUUCCCUUUCCCUCCUUUAGAGGUGCGAUGGAAAAGAAGUUUUCAGAUUCAGCUCCUUCCUGGAUGGGUAAACUUGUUUUAAAAUGUCACACUUUUGUGCAGUAAGAAAACUCAUAAGUGCUAUUUGUAAGCUAAGUACUGAUAAAAUAGAAAUCUCCUACAUAUAUUAAGUGAA
This is a long non-coding RNA of Equus caballus (horse), 3086 nucleotides long. RefSeq lists it as uncharacterized. NCBI's taxonomy places the organism in Eukaryota, Metazoa, Chordata, Mammalia, Perissodactyla, Equidae. The record is from RefSeq and is a predicted model, not a curated record.